UGGGGAAUAUUGGACAAUGGGGGAAACCCUGAUCCAGCAAUGCCGCGUGAGUGAAGAAGGCCUUAGGGUUGUAAAGCUCUUUCGCCCGCGAAGAUAAUGACGGUAGCGGGAGAAGAAGCCCCGGCUAACUCCGUGCCAGCAGCCGCGGUAAUACGGAGGGGGCUAGCGUUGUUCGGAAUUACUGGGCGUAAAGCGUUCGUAGGCGGAUGCGCAAGUUGGGGGUGAAAUCCCGGGGCUUAACCUCGGAAUUGCCCUCAAAACUGCACGUCUUGAGACCGAGAGAGGUAAGGGGAAUUCCUAGUGUAGAGGUGAAAUUCGUAGAUAUUAGGAAGAACACCAGUGGCGAAGGCGCCUUACUGGCUCGGUACUGACGCUGAGGUACGAAAGCGUGGGGAGCAAACA
RNAcentral lists this ribosomal RNA (402 nucleotides) under uncultured bacterium. RNAcentral's name for it is "bacterial SSU rRNA". It matches the Rfam family "Bacterial small subunit ribosomal RNA", at positions 355 to 774 of the family's 1533-position model. The record is from RNAcentral.